Molecule: ribosomal RNA, 1444 nt
Filed under: uncultured organism
Description: SSU rRNA
Rfam family: Bacterial small subunit ribosomal RNA
Source: RNAcentral
GGUUCAGGAUGAACGCUAGCUACAGGCUUAACACAUGCAAGUCGAGGGGCAUCAGGAAGAAAGCUUGCUUUCUUUGCUGGCGACCGGCGCACGGGUGAGUAACACGUAUCCAACCUGCCCUUUACUCGGGGAUAGCCUUUCGAAAGAAAGAUUAAUACCCGAUAGCAUAAUGAUUCCGCAUGGUUUCAUUAUUAAAGGAUUCCGGUAAAGGAUGGGGAUGCGUUCCAUUAGGUUGUCGGUGAGGUAACGGCCCACCAAGCCUUCGAUGGAUAGGGGUUCUGAGAGGAAGGUCCCCCACAUUGGAACUGAGACACGGUCCAAACUCCUACGGGAGGCAGCAGUGAGGAAUAUUGGUCAAUGGGCGCUAGCCUGAACCAGCCAAGUAGCGUGAAGGAUGAAGGCUCUAUGGGUCGUAAACUUCUUUUAUAUAAGAAUAAAGUGCAGUAUGUAUACUGUUUUGUAUGUAUUAUAUGAAUAAGGAUCGGCUAACUCCGUGCCAGCAGCCGCGGUAAUACGGAGGAUCCGAGCGUUAUCCGGAUUUAUUGGGUUUAAAGGGAGCGUAGGUGGACUGGUAAGUCAGUUGUGAAAGUUUGCGGCUCAACCGUAAAAUUGCAGUUGAUACUGUCAGUCUUGAGUACAGUAGAGGUGGGCGGAAUUCGUGGUGUAGCGGUGAAAUGCUUAGAUAUCACGAAGAACUCCGAUUGCGAAGGCAGCUCACUGGACUGCAACUGACACUGAUGCUCGAAAGUGUGGGUAUCAAACAGGAUUAGAUACCCUGGUAGUCCACACAGUAAACGAUGAAUACUCGCUGUUUGCGAUAUACAGUAAGCGGCCAAGCGAAAGCAUUAAGUAUUCCACCUGGGGAGUACGCCGGCAACGGUGAAACUCAAAGGAAUUGACGGGGGCCCGCACAAGCGGAGGAACAUGUGGUUUAAUUCGAUGAUACGCGAGGAACCUUACCCGGGCUUAAAUUGCAGUGGAAUGAUGUGGAAACAUGUCAGUGAGCAAUCACCGCUGUGAAGGUGCUGCAUGGUUGUCGUCAGCUCGUGCCGUGAGGUGUCGGCUUAAGUGCCAUAACGAGCGCAACCCUUAUCUUUAGUUACUAACAGGUUAUGCUGAGGACUCUAGAGAGACUGCCGUCGUAAGAUGUGAGGAAGGUGGGGAUGACGUCAAAUCAGCACGGCCCUUACGUCCGGGGCUACACACGUGUUACAAUGGGGGGUACAGAAGGCAGCUAGCGGGUGACCGUAUGCUAAUCCCAAAAUCCUCUCUCAGUUCGGAUCGAAGUCUGCAACCCGACUUCGUGAAGCUGGAUUCGCUAGUAAUCGCGCAUCAGCCACGGCGCGGUGAAUACGUUCCCGGGCCUUGUACACACCGCCCGUCAAGCCAUGGGAGCCGGGGGUACCUGAAGUACGUAACCGCAAGGAUCGUCCUAGGGUAAAAC